GUGAGGACUGGUGGAGCGCUAAGAAGUGAGAAUGCCGGUAUGAGUAACGAUUCGUGGUGAGAAUCCACGACGCCUAUUGGGGAAGGUUUCCUGGGCAAGGUUCGUCCACCCAGGGUUAGUCAGGACCUAAGGCGAGGCGGAUACGCGUAGUCGAUGGACAACAGGUUAAUAUUCCUGUACUUUCUAUAAUAGUGAUGGAGUGACGGAGAAGGAUAGGCUUACCUCUUACUGGAUUGAGGGGCAAGUAGCAACUGGAAAUUGUAGGCAAAUCCGCAAUUUGUAACCGGGAGCUGUGACGCAUAGGCGCAAGCUGAAUUAGUUGAUUUCAUACUUCCAAGAAAAGCUUCUAAACUUAAUAUUAUGGAAACCUGUACCGAGAACGGACACACGUCCCCAAGAUGAGUAUUCUAAGGCGAGCGAGAAAACUAGUGUUAAGGAACUCUGCAAAAUGACCCCGUAAGUUCGCAAGAAGGGGUGCUCACGCAAGUGAGCCACAGAAAAUUAUGAGGGGCAACUGUUUAUCAAAAACACAGCUCUCUGCUAAACCGCAAGGUGAUGUAUAGGGGGUGAAGCCUGCCCAGUGCCCGAAGGUUAAGUGGAUGCGUUAGCUUUAUGCGAAGCGUUGAAAUGAAGCCCGGGUGAACGGCGGCCGUAACUAUAACGGUCCUAAGGUAGCGAAAUUCCUUGUCGGCUAAAUACUGACCUGCACGAAAGGCGCAAUGAUCUCUCAACUGUCUCAACACUAGACUCGGUGAAAUUAUGGUCCCAGUGAAAACGCUGGGUACCCGCAUCAAGACGAAAAGACCCCAUGGAGCUUUACUACAACUUCGUAUUGAAAUUUGGUCUAACAUGUGUAGGAUAGGUGGGAGACUUUGAAGCUAAGACGCCAGUCUUAGUGGAGUCAACCUUGAAAUACCACCCUUGUUAUAUUGAGUUUCUAACCUGCCAUCAUCAUCGGGUGGGGGGACAGUGCGUGGUGGGUAGUUUGACUGGGGCGGUCGCCUCCUAAAGAGUAACGGAGGCGUUCAAAGGUACACUCAAUACGGUCAGAAACCGUAUGCAGAGCGCAAAGGUAGAAGUGUGCUUGACUGUGAGACUUACAAGUCGAGCAGGUGCGAAAGCAGGACUUAGUGAUCCGGCUGUACAUUGUGCAAUGGCAGUCGCUCAACGGAUAAAAGUUACCCUGGGGAUAACAGGCUUAUCUUGCCCAAGAGAUCACAUCGACGGCAAGGUUUGGCACCUCGAUGUCGGCUCAUCGCAUCCUGGAGCUGGAGUCGGUUCCAAGGGUUGGGCUGUUCGCCCAUUAAAGCGGUACGCGAGCUGGGUUCAGAACGUCGUGAGACAGUUCGGUCCCUAUCUGAUGUGGGCGUUGGAAUAUUGAUGAGAGCCGUUUUUAGUACGAGAGGACCGAAACGGACGUACCACUGGUGUUCCAGUUGUUCCGCCAGGAGCAUAGCUGGGUAGCUAAGUACGGAAAGGAUAACCGCUGAAAGCAUCUAAGUGGGAAGCCUCCUCAAAGAUUAGUAUUCCCUUGAGAUUCCUUAUAGACUAUGAGGUCGAUAGGCUGGAUGUGUAAGCAUGGCGACAUGUUGAGCUGACCAGUACUAAUAAAUCGAUAGGUUUAAAA
Molecule: ribosomal RNA, 1627 nt
Filed under: Mycoplasma simbae ATCC 49888
Lineage: Bacteria; Bacillati; Mycoplasmatota; Mollicutes; Mycoplasmatales; Mycoplasmataceae
Description: bacterial LSU rRNA
Rfam family: Bacterial large subunit ribosomal RNA
Source: RNAcentral